UUAGUACUUUUGCGAUAAGCCAGUGUUUAUCGAGAUGUUUUGAAUAUUUAUCGAAUCCACCACAUAUUUGUAUAUGGUUAAGGCCCGGUCUUUUCACCUCCGAAUAAAUAUGCUCUUAUCUGGCAGUUAGCUAUCUGGAGGAUAAAUAUUUAUUCGCCAGAUAAAAUGUACCCGUCUUUUCACGUCAAUUUAUGUUCCAGUUAGUUAUCCGGUAGAUAAGCUUAAAACUUUAACUUAACCUAACAUAAUUAUAUUCAAAGUAUUUCAAAGAUGAUUUUAUCGAUUUUAUUUCCAUUUUGGAAGAAGGAAUGAAGGAAAUAAGGAAAACAUUGAUUAUGCUGAAAUAGUUUACUGGAGAGCUUGAACAAGAGGUAAAUCCAUUUUAAAUUAGAGGAAAACUGUUGAUUUGUAUGUAAAAUAGAAGACAAAGACAAGUUUAAAUAAAGACAAGCUAGCUAAUGAAACAGAUGCAGUGAUAUGACAAACACCUAGAAGAUGGAAUCCUGUGUUCUCAAAGAAAAAGCUAGUUCCAGAAAUAAGCUACCAAUAAUAAACUAGAGAAUGUAUUACAAGAAAGAACAACGCUAAUACCCAACAUAGCUCAAUUGCUUCAGAUAGAAAAAGAGGAGGAAAGGGUAGAACACAAGCGUGCCAGAGAAAAUUAAAGGGCAGAAGAGACACAAAAAUUCAUUGAUUUAUUAAAUUUAAUAAUUAAAUUAUACAAAGGACAAUUAAAUAAAGAAUAAAAAAUUA
Diabrotica virgifera virgifera (western corn rootworm) is the source of this 753-nucleotide long non-coding RNA. RefSeq lists it as uncharacterized. Lineage: Eukaryota; Metazoa; Arthropoda; Insecta; Coleoptera; Chrysomelidae. The transcript has 4 exons. The record is from RefSeq and is a predicted model, not a curated record.